GACGAACGCUGGCGGCGUGCUUAAUACAUGCAAGUCGAACGGAGCCUAGCCGGUAGUUUACUACAGGCGAAAGCUUAGUGGCGGACGGGUGAGUAACGCGUGGGCAAUCUGCCCCUAAGUCCGGGAUAACAGAGCGAAAGUUCUGCUAAGACCGGAUACUCUUCCUUGGUCGCAUGGCGGAGGAAGGAAAGGAUACGCUUAGGGAUGAGCCCGCGUCCCAUUAGCUAGUUGGUGAGGUAACGGCCCACCAAGGCGACGAUGGGUAGCCGGCCUGAGAGGGUGGACGGCCACACUGGGACUGAGACACGGCCCAGACUCCUACGGGAGGCAGCAGUAGGGAAUUUUCCGCAAUGGGGGAAACCCUGACGGAGCAACGCCGCGUGAGGGAAGAAGGCCUUCGGGUCGUAAACCUUUGUCAUCGAGGACGAUAAUGACGGUACUCGAGGAGGAAGCCCGGCUAACUACGUG
RNAcentral lists this ribosomal RNA (468 nucleotides) under uncultured bacterium. RNAcentral's name for it is "bacterial SSU rRNA". It matches the Rfam family "Bacterial small subunit ribosomal RNA", at positions 28 to 507 of the family's 1533-position model. The record is from RNAcentral.